Long non-coding RNA from Zingiber officinale, 900 nucleotides. RefSeq lists it as uncharacterized. The transcript has 2 exons. The record is from RefSeq and is a predicted model, not a curated record. NCBI's taxonomy places the organism in Eukaryota, Viridiplantae, Streptophyta, Magnoliopsida, Zingiberales, Zingiberaceae.
GACGGGGCAUAAAUCACUGCACCUUGUAUAACUCACCCCUCCCCAUCCAUUUGCCUCCUUAGUCAUUGUGAUUUAUCUUCUCCGUAUUGGUCCUGGGGAAGACUGGGGGUGAGUGAGUGCUUCUCCUUUUUGCCACAAUCUCUUCUCCUCCCGAUCACACACCUCCGUCAUCAUACACACACCGACCAUCUCCUCAACCUCACACCAAUGCUCACCAUCAUCGUCGGCCACUCCUCCUCCACCAAAAGCCACCACCAGAGCGUAAAGGGAUUUCCUUUCUCAGCUGGCCAUCCAUCAUCUUCCUCCAUCUCCUUCCUCUUGCUCACACAAUCUCUUCUUUCUCCUCCAUUGACAACAACUGCAAGCCACCUCUAUAUGAACUCAUCUACCAAGGAAUCGACCUAAUUAGUCGAUCGAACCUAUGGAUCGGUCAACCGAAUCAAGUCGGGAUGGCACAAACCAGAUCCAUCAGAAGCAAAGGUGAAAGCCAGUCUGAUCGGUCGACCAAAGCUAGGGAUCGGUCGACUGAACAUUAAAUGCAAUUAAAGGAUCAUUGAUGGAGAAUCUUGGCAAAAAAGGAAACUACACUAAUCGAUCAACUGAUCAAGGGGAUCUGUUAAUCGAACAUUCAUGUGUGAAGAUAAGAUCUCAGUGAAGAAGAAAAGCAAGGACUUCAGUCGACCGAUAGAGGGUUCGGUCGACCGAACAGAUCAAUCAAUCGAAGGACUUUUCAGUCGACCGAACCUGUCUUAUAAAAGGACCUUGAGAUCUGAGCCUAUGGACAACUUCUAUGGUGUAAAUUCUCUGAUCUACUCUGCUCAUGCUUCUGUCAUUUAGCGCCUUAAUUUUACAUGUAAGCUACUAUGUGACGAGCUUCAACAUCUAUUUCUAUUAUCGGUA